Molecule: ribosomal RNA, 730 nt
Filed under: uncultured bacterium
Lineage: Bacteria
Description: bacterial SSU rRNA
Rfam family: Bacterial small subunit ribosomal RNA
Source: RNAcentral
AACAGGAUUAGAUACCCUGGUAGUCCACGCCGUAAACGAUGUCGACUAGCCGUUGGGUCCUUCGCGGACUUUGUGGCGCAGUUAACGCGAUAAGUCGACCGCCUGGGGAGUACGGCCGCAAGGUUAAAACUCAAAUGAAUUGACGGGGGCCCGCACAAGCGGUGGAGCAUGUGGUUUAAUUCGACGCAACGCGAAGAACCUUACCUACCCUUGACAUCCUCGGAAUCCGCCAGAGAUGGCGGAGUGCCUUCGGGAACCGAGAGACAGGUGCUGCAUGGCUGUCGUCAGCUCGUGUUGUGAAAUGUUGGGUUAAGUCCCGUAACGAGCGCAACCCUUGUCCCUAUUUGCCAGCGAUUCGGUCGGGAACUCUAGGGAGACUGCCGGUGACAAACCGGAGGAAGGUGGGGACGACGUCAAGUCAUCAUGGCCCUUACGGGUAGGGCUACACACGUGCUACAAUGGUCAGUACAAAGGGUUGCGAACUUGCGAGAGUGAGCCAAUCCCAGAAAGCUGAUCUCAGUCCGGAUCGGAGUCUGCAACUCGACUCCGUGAAGUCGGAAUCGCUAGUAAUCGUGAAUCAGAAUGUCACGGUGAAUACGUUCCCGGGCCUUGUACACACCGCCCGUCACACCAUGGGAGUGGACUGCACCAGAAGUGGUUAGCCUAACCUUCGGGAGGGCGAUCACCACGGUGUGGUUCAUGACUGGGGUGAAGUCGUAACAAGGUAACC